AUUGAACGCUGGCGGAAUGCUUUACACAUGCAAGUCGAACGGCAGCACGGACUUCGGUCUGGUGGCGAGUGGCGAACGGGUGAGUAAUGUAUCGGAACGUGCCCAGUCGUGGGGGAUAACGUAGUGAAAAUUACGCUAAUACCGCAUACGAUCUAUGGAUGAAAGCGGGGGAUCGCAAGACCUCGCGCGCUUGGAGCGGCCGAUAUCAGAUUAGGUAGGUGGUGGGGUAAAGGCCCACCAAGCCAACGAUCUGUAGCUGGUCUGAGAGGACGACCAGCCACACUGGAACUGAGACACGGUCCAGACUCCUACGGGAGGCAGCAGUGGGGAAUUUUGGACAAUGGGCGAAAGCCUGAUCCAGCCAUUCCGCGUGCAGGAUGAGGGCCCUCGGGUUGUAAACUGCUUUUGUACAGAACGAAAAGGUUUCUACUAAUACUAGGAGCUCAUGACGGUACUGUAAGAAUAAGCACCGGCUAACUACGUGCCAGCCGCCGCAGUAA
This 500-nucleotide ribosomal RNA is filed under the name uncultured bacterium. RNAcentral's name for it is "partial 16S ribosomal RNA". It matches the Rfam family "Bacterial small subunit ribosomal RNA", at positions 30 to 523 of the family's 1533-position model. The record is from RNAcentral.